ACAUCGGAAGCAUUGCUGGUAAUGCAGAAGUCUCCAAAACUUCCGGGUGUGAUCCCACUGAAGGUUCGACUCCUUCCCGGUGUG
This 84-nucleotide transfer RNA is filed under the name Candidatus Omnitrophota bacterium. RNAcentral's name for it is "tRNA-Trp". It matches the Rfam family "tRNA". From Rfam's summary of the family: Transfer RNA (tRNA) molecules are approximately 80 nucleotides in length. Lineage: Bacteria; Pseudomonadati; Candidatus Omnitrophota. The record is from RNAcentral.